Molecule: ribosomal RNA, 377 nt
Filed under: uncultured bacterium
Lineage: Bacteria
Description: bacterial SSU rRNA
Rfam family: Bacterial small subunit ribosomal RNA
Source: RNAcentral
GACAGAGGGUGCUAGCGUUAAUCGGAAUUACUGGGCGUAAAGGGCGUGUAGGCGGAUUGAUAAGUCGGAUGUGAAAGCCCUGGGCUUAACCUGGGAACGGCAUUUGAUACUAUGAGUCUAGAGUGAAGCAGAGGGUAGCGGAAUUUCCGGUGUAGCGGUGAAAUGCGUAGAUAUCGGAAGGAACACCAGUGGCGAAGGCGGCUACCUGGGCUUUAACUGACGCUGAGGCGCGAAAGCGUGGGGAGCGAACAGGAUUAGAUACCCUGGUAGUCCACGCUGUAAACGAUGAAGACUAGCUGUUGGUGGAUGUGAUGUCUAUCGGUAGCGAAGCUAACGCGAUAAGUCUUCCGCCUGGGGAGUACGGCCGCAAGGUUGAA